Molecule: small nucleolar RNA, 106 nt
Organism: Peromyscus leucopus (white-footed mouse)
Lineage: Eukaryota; Metazoa; Chordata; Mammalia; Rodentia; Cricetidae
Product: small nucleolar RNA U13
Exons: 1
Source: RefSeq, a predicted model, not a curated record
AUCUUAGGAUCUUUCUUUAGUGUGGUGAUGGGCAUUCAUGUCCCUGCAUGAAAUAUGUCCCCCCCGCAACACAUCAUUAUCACAUUGGCACAGGAGCCUUCUGAUA